Molecule: RNA transcript, 1790 nt
Organism: Magnolia sinica
Lineage: Eukaryota; Viridiplantae; Streptophyta; Magnoliopsida; Magnoliales; Magnoliaceae
Exons: 3
Source: RefSeq, a predicted model, not a curated record
AGCUCGACCCCAUCUAUCCUCCUUUUCGUCCGCCUUUCUUCUCUCUUACCUACAUUCUCUCCAUCGGUCUGAAAAAGAGCAAAAAACCUAUCUCUCGACCCUCAUCUCAAUCCGACCGUCCAUCUCACCACUCUCCGAACCCGCCCCAGAAAUCUGACGGAGAAGAUGAAGCGGAAGAAAUGGACGGAGGAGGAGGAAUCGACCCUGAUCAGCAAGUACUCGGAGCUGCUCCGGUCGGGCACUCUGUCGAAGCUGAAGACCCGCGAGAAGAAAUUCGAGCCGAUCGCACAGCACGUGAACGCCCUCCAUCACAUGGUGGACCCCACCUCCUUCCCUUUCCGAUGGUCAUGGCGCGACGUCUCGAUCAAGGUACAGAACAUGCGACAUCAGUUCCUUAACGUGAAGCAGAAGAUCCGAAUCGUCCCUUCUUCUUCAAAUUCAGCUUCGUCCAACACCAGUGGCUAUAACUGGUCUGACGGUGAAAACCACUGGCAGAAUUUCCUGAAAUACAAGCAAGUUUUUGGAGAUCUUGAUCUUGAUCCACCACUCUCAGCUGUUGCAAACGGAAGUGGCAACAAUGCCCACGUUGGAAACAGCAACAACCACAACGAUGAUGAUGAUGAAAAUGAUGAUGAUGAUAGGGCAGGACCGGUGGAUGGCCCGUCAUCUUUGUUGGUGGUGGAUGAUGAUGCUGCUGCUGUUUUUGGUUAUGAUGGUUUUGUCGAUGGCGAUGGUUCUGAUGUUCUUGGAUUGGGUCUGGGGAUUGAUUGCGAGGACGGGUUUGAUGCGGAUCGUGAUGAGGAGGAGGUGGACCCGGCUGUGAGUGAUGGCGAAGAGCGGGAUGGUGGUGAGGAUGGGGAAGAUGGUGACUUGGGUUUUGUUCGCGGGAUGAAGAGAGCGAGGAAGGAUGGCGAGGAUUGGGGCGGGCAGGUUUUGGAGCUGAGGGAGAUGGCGUUGAGGAGGGAGGAGAGUAGGAGGGAGAGGGAGUUUGGGAGAGAAGAUGAGGUGGCGGCAAGAGAGGAUGGGAGGCGGGAGAGGGAGAGGCAGAGGGAGGAGCGAAUGGGCACGAGGGAGUUUGAAUUGGAGGAGCGGGAGCGGAUGUGGGUGAGGUGGCAGUUUGAGAGGCGAAUGAGGGUUGAGGAGGAGUUUGUGGAGGAACGGAGGCGGAGGAUGAAGAUGGAGGAGAAGAGAGAGGAGGAGGAGAUGAAGUGGAGGGAGCAGAUGGUUGGAAUGCAGAUGGAGCAUGAGAAACAGAUGAUGGAGAUGUAUGCGGACGCUUGUCAUAACCAAAUGCAGGUUUUGGGGGUUCUGGUGAGGCUGGUUAGCCAGUUCUUCGGGCCUGGGGGUGAUGGGUUGGGGGGUGGGAUGGGUGGGUUGCCUUCACAAGUUUUGCAGAAUCUGCAGCAUCCAGGGAGCUUGGUGGGUGAAAAUGGGAAGGCAGAUGGGAACUCAGGGGGCCACUUCAUGUAGAUUGAUGAUAGAGUCUGAUCUUGAGGUCUUCUUGUAUAUGGCAUUGCAAUGUAAGGAGAAGGUGGUGAAUUGUGUGGGUUCUCUAUGUUAGGACAGGCAAGAAAGAAUUCAAUAAGGUUGGUGGGCAGGCCUGUUUUAAAUGGUUGAGGGGAAGAAUGCCAUUUCACAGAUACUUCUCAGUCCGUGGCGUCUGUUAGAAUUAAGAGAGUUUUAUUAGACUCGUCUUCUAUUGUGUAUAUUUAUGCUCCCCAGGGACAGCAUACCAUUUUGUAAUAGGGUUUAUUGAAUAAAAGAGAUCAGAGGGCUGUAAUUCAUCUCUA